CCUACGGGAGGCAGCAGUGGGGAAUAUUGCACAAUGGAGGCAACCCUGAUGCAGCGACGCCGCGUGCAUGAAGAAGUACUUCGUUAUGUAAAGCUCUAUCAGCAGGGAAGAAAAUGACGGUACCUGACUAAGAAGCACCGGCUAACUACUUGCCAGCAGCCGCGGUAAUACGUAGGGGGCAAGCGUUAUCCGGAUUUACUGGGUGUAAAGGGAGCGUAGACGGCGCUGCAAGUCCGGAGUGAAAGUCCAUGGCUGAACCAUGGUACUGCUCUGGAAACUGUGGAGCUUGAGUGCGGGAGGGGCAGGCGGAAUUCCUAGUGUAGCGGUGAAAUGCGUAGAGAUUAGGAGGAACACCGGCGGCGAAGGCGGCCUGCUGGACCGUAACUGACGUUGAGGCUCGAAAGCGUGGGGAGCAAACAGGAUUAGAUACCCUGGUAGUC
This 440-nucleotide ribosomal RNA is filed under the name uncultured bacterium. Its description in RNAcentral is "partial 16S ribosomal RNA". It matches the Rfam family "Bacterial small subunit ribosomal RNA", at positions 338 to 795 of the family's 1533-position model. The record is from RNAcentral.